AGAGUUUGAUCCUGGCUCAGAGCGAACGCUGGCGGCAGGCUUAACACAUGCAAGUCGAGCGGGCGUAGCAAUACGUCAGCGGCAGACGGGUGAGUAACGCGUGGGAACGUACCUUUUGGUUCGGAACAACACAGGGAAACUUGUGCUAAUACCGGAUAAGCCCUUACGGGGAAAGAUUUAUCGCCGAAAGAUCGGCCCGCGUCUGAUUAGCUAGUUGGUGAGGUAACGGCUCACCAAGGCGACGAUCAGUAGCUGGUCUGAGAGGAUGAUCAGCCACAUUGGGACUGAGACACGGCCCAAACUCCUACGGGAGGCAGCAGUGGGGAAUAUUGGACAAUGGGCGCAAGCCUGAUCCAGCCAUGCCGCGUGAGUGAUGAAGGCCCUAGGGUUGUAAAGCUCUUUUGUGCGGGAAGAUAAUGACGGUACCGCAAGAAUAAGCCCCGGCUAACUUCGUGCCAGCAGCCGCGGUAAUACGAAGGGGGCUAGCGUUGCUCGGAAUCACUGGGCGUAAAGGGUGCGUAGGCGGGUCUUUAAGUCAGGGGUGAAAUCCUGGAGCUCAACUCCAGAACUGCCUUUGAUACUGAAGAUCUUGAGUUCGGGAGAGGUGAGUGGAACUGCGAGUGUAGAGGUGAAAUUCGUAGAUAUUCGCAAGAACACCAGUGGUGAAAGCGGCUCACUGGCCCGAUACUGACGCUGAGGCACGAAAGCGUGGGGAGCAAACAGGAUUAGAUACCCUGGUAGUCC
RNAcentral lists this ribosomal RNA (744 nucleotides) under uncultured bacterium. Its description in RNAcentral is "bacterial SSU rRNA". It matches the Rfam family "Bacterial small subunit ribosomal RNA", at positions 8 to 796 of the family's 1533-position model. The record is from RNAcentral.